AAUGAACGUUGGCGGCAUGGAUUAGGCAUGCAAGUCGGGGGAAUCCCAGCAAUGGGGGAACCGGCGUAAGGGGCAGUAAGGCAUGGGUACCUACCUUGGGGUUCGGGAUAGCCAUCAGAGAUGGUGGGUACUACCGGAUGACGUCGUGAGACCAAAGAUUUAUCGCGCUUAGAGGGGCCCAUGUGAUAUUAGCUAGUUGGUGGGGUAACGGCCCACCAAGGCGAAGAUGUCUAGCGGGUGUGAGAGCACGACCCGCGCCACUCGCACUGAGACACUGGCGAGACACCUACGGGUGGCUGGAGUCGAGGAUCUUCGGCAAUGAGCGCAAGCUUGACCGAGCGAUGCCGCGUGAGCGAUGAAGGCCUUCGGGUUGUAAAGCUCUUUAGUGGGGGAGAAAAGCCGCAAGGUGUGAUCUAUCCCAAAAAUAAGCACGGGCUAAGUUCGUGCCAGCAGCCGCCGUAA
This 462-nucleotide ribosomal RNA is filed under the name uncultured bacterium. RNAcentral's name for it is "partial 16S ribosomal RNA". It matches the Rfam family "Bacterial small subunit ribosomal RNA", at positions 29 to 523 of the family's 1533-position model. The record is from RNAcentral.